RNAcentral lists this small RNA (703 nucleotides) under Pan troglodytes (chimpanzee). RNAcentral describes it as "retained intron". The record is from RNAcentral. Lineage: Eukaryota; Metazoa; Chordata; Mammalia; Primates; Hominidae.
AGAACCAUGUCCCUCUCCCCUCCUCACUGUACACUGGGGCUCCACCUGUCACUGAACCUCUGGGAGCCUCAGGGCUGUCCACAGCCUGCCCCUCCUCCCCACGUCAUUCUCCCCCCGCCCCCCGCACAAAGCCCAAGGCUUUUGGCUGAGGUGGGUUGUGGGAGCUCUGGGACACCCACCCCCUCUCCCGCCUCUUCUCCCCCCUCCCCAGCCCAAGCUGACGCCUCAGGAGAAGCUGAAACUGAGGAUGCAGAAGGCGCUGAACAGGCAGUUCAAGGCGGAUAAGAAGGCAGCACAAGAAAAGAUGAUCCAGCAGGAGCAUGAGCGGCAGGUGAAGUGGGAAAGGGAGGGCUGGGGUGGUGGGUGGGUGCUGGCCUGGCCAUGUCCUCAUAGCCCUGUCUGCUGCAGGAGCGGGAAGACGAGCUUCGAGCCAUGGCCCGCAAGAUCCGCAUGAAGGAGCGGGAACGCCGAGAGAAGGAGAGAGAAGAGUGGGAACGCCAGUACAGCCGGCAGAGCCGCUCACCCUCCCCCCGAUACAGUCGAGAAUACAGCUCUUCUCGAAGGCGCUCAAGGUCCCGAUCCCGAAGCCCCCAUUACCGACAUUAGGCAGAAGAGUGGGGGGUGGGGAGGACAAGGGGGUGGGUAAGGGGCUCAAGCUGUGAUGCUGCUGGUUUUAUCUCUAGUGAAAUAAAGUCAAAAGUUA